This 409-nucleotide ribosomal RNA is filed under the name uncultured bacterium. Its description in RNAcentral is "bacterial SSU rRNA". It matches the Rfam family "Bacterial small subunit ribosomal RNA", at positions 331 to 738 of the family's 1533-position model. The record is from RNAcentral.
CCAGACUCCUACGGGAGGCAGCAGUGAGGAAUAUUGGUCAAUGGCCGAGAGGCUGAACCAGCCAAGUCGCGUGAGGGAUGACGGCCCUACGGGUUGUAAACCUCUUUUGCCGGGGAGCAAAGAGCGGGACGCGUCCCGCCUCGAGAGUACCCGAAGAAAAAGCAUCGGCUAACUCCGUGCCAGCAGCCGCGGUAAUACGGAGGAUGCGAGCGUUAUCCGGAUUUAUUGGGUUUAAAGGGUGCGCAGGCGGAGGUGCAAGUCAGCGGUCAAAUGGCGGGGCUCAACCCCGUACUGCCGUUGAAACUGCAUCCCUUGAGUGCGCGAGAAGUAUGCGGAAUGCGUGGUGUAGCGGUGAAAUGCAUAGAUAUCACGCAGAACUCCGAUUGCGAAGGCAGCAUACCGGCGCGCA